This 1285-nucleotide ribosomal RNA is filed under the name Acholotermes chirotus. Its description in RNAcentral is "16S ribosomal RNA". The stretch from base 1032 to 1192 matches the Rfam family "Bacterial large subunit ribosomal RNA", at positions 2473 to 2632 of the family's 2925-position model. Lineage: Eukaryota; Metazoa; Arthropoda; Insecta; Blattodea; Termitidae. The record is from RNAcentral.
GUUAUAAUUGAAGAAUCAUUUAUGUUAUUGUAUUUUUGUGAUUUAAUCUUUUUGCUAUAGUUUAUUUGUACCGUGAGGGUUUAGGUCGAAAUAGUUGAAGUUUUUAAAAGUUUAUUUUGUUUGUUGUACCUUGUGUAUCAGGGUUCAUUGAAUUUUAUUAUUUAUUUUUAUUUCCCGAUUUUAGAGGAGUUAAUAGUUUAUGUUAGUUACUGUUUUAUUAGUAUUAAUAAUGGAUUAUUGGUAGUGAAAUGUUAUUCGUCUUUAACGGUUUCUGGUUUUUCAAGAAAUGAAUUUAAUUCAUGCUCCUUAUUUAAGUUUUACUUUUGUGUAUGUCUUUUUAUUUGGUGUUAAUAUUAGGGGGGAUUAGCUUCCUAUUUGACUUUUAUAAUUUUGUAUUUUAUUUAGUUUUGUGGAUUUUAUGGUGAUUUUCAAUUUGAUUAUGUUAAAAUUUUAUUUUUUUGUUUGUUUAUUUUUAUUUAUUUAAGGUUUUUAUUGGAAUUUUUUCUUUUAUGUUUGUUUGAGUAGUAUUCAUUAUGUAAUUAGUAAAUGGUUUCUUUGUGUUGUUUAUUUUAUGUUAGAUUCUUUUUAGGAAUUCGGCAAGAUUUUCAUGCCCGCCUGUUUAACAAAAACAUCUUUUCUUGUUAGUUUUUGAAGUAAGGCCUGCCCACUGAUUUGGUUAUUGAAGGGCCGCGGUAUUUUGACCGUGCAAAGGUAGCAUAAUCAUUAGUUCUUUAAUUGUGAUCUGGUAUGAAUGGUUUGACGAGGCAUGCACUGUCUUAAAUUAGUUGAAUAAUUUUAUUGAAUUUGGAGUUUGAGUUAAAAUUCUUAAAUGUUUAUAUGGGACGAGAAGACCCUAUAGAGUUUAAUACUUGUAUUUAUUUGCUGUUAUGGUUUGAUUUAUAGUUUUAUAGUAGAUUAAGUAUUUUGUUGGGGUGAUGGGAGGAAUUUAUGUAACUCCUCUUAUUUUUAGUUAUAUUUGUUUGUAUUUUCUUGAUCCAUUUAUUUUGAUUAUAAGAUUAAAUUACCUUAGGGAUAACAGCGUAAUCUUCCUUGAGAGUUCUUAUUGGCAGGAGGGUUUGCGACCUCGAUGUUGGAUUAAGGUGAAUUUUUGGUGCAGGAGCUGAAAGUGAUUAGGUCUGUUCGACCUUUAAAAUCUUACAUGAUCUGAGUUCAGACCGGCGUGAGCCAGGUUGGUUUCUAUCUAUAGUAAUAUUUUAUAUCUUAGUACGAGAGGACCGGAUAUUUGGAAUAAUUUUAAUUUUAACGUGAUUGUUAAUAAUGAUUG